UACGUAGGGGGCAAGCGUUGUCCGGAUUUAUUGGGCGUAAAGAGCGUGUAGGCGGCCAGAUAGGUCAGCUGUGAAAACUCGAGGCUUAACCUUGAGAUGUCAUCGGAAACCAUUUGGCUAGAGUCCGGAAGAGGAAAGUGGAAUUCCUGGUGUAGCGGUGAAAUGCGCAGAUAUCAGGAAGAACACCAAUGGCGAAAGCAGCUUUCUGGGACGGUACUGACGCUGAGACGCGAAAGCGUGGGGAGCGAACAGG
This 253-nucleotide ribosomal RNA is filed under the name uncultured bacterium. RNAcentral describes it as "partial 16S ribosomal RNA". It matches the Rfam family "Bacterial small subunit ribosomal RNA", at positions 524 to 776 of the family's 1533-position model. The record is from RNAcentral.